UUUGAAUGGCUUAUGUAUGCAAGUAUGUAUGUAGUAAAAGUCCAGGAUUUUCAUAUUUAUAUACAACUCGCAUUUCUGCUUCUAUUGGUCUCACUUUUGACUCUGAUGUUUUUAAAUUAAUUUUUAAAUACUUUGGUGCUGCUGUGAUCCAUCUCUCCUUCCCAAGUGCUAGGGUUGUAGACCUGUGCCACUGGGUUUGGCUUUUAGGUGAUGUUUUUGGUGAUGAAAAGUGGUAGGAUCACCUUUGUUACUUACUGUCCAUGUGACUUUAGAGAAAUUAUGAAAUGUUCCUGGGGUUCAAUUUUCUCAUCUAACAAAUAGUGAGUGUGUUUGGUGAUUACUGUAUUAUGAACUUAUUGCCAAUGUAAGUGAGUUUAUGGGUUGUAAGAUACUGUGUCUGGUGAGCCAAAUAGUUCAGUGGGGAGAGCAUUAGCCUGAAGAUGCUUUGUUGACUUUAACAUUCUCUGUAAGAGUUGUUUCAGAAGAACAAAUUAGAAAGGAAUAUGUAGAACUUAUCAAAAGCAAUGUAGAGGUAGCAAGGUAAAAUGAAUAAUGACUGACAGCUCUUAGGGAGAAAAAAAACACUAAUUGUCUCUGUCCCUGCCGUCUUUCUCCCUCCCUCAAAAGAACCACUUAAUACAUCAAUAAUUGAAGUUCCUUGCUCCAGAGACCGACUUCAGUAGCACCUGAGGUUGGCUUAUUGUAAGAUUUCUAUCAGGCUUUUUUUCCUGGUCUUUUUUCCCCUGUAUUGUAGUCAUUGAUUUUUCAAAAGGGUAAAUCUGAUCAUUUAAUUUGUGUGCUUAAAUUAUUUCUAGCUUUAUAAUUAAGAUGAAAUAUUAUUUCUCAUUUCUUUAAGAUAAGUGAGUUCCUUUCCUAACAUCUUUUUAGCCUUAGAGACUCCACAAUUCUCCCCCAUUCCUAAAUAUGUAAUUGUCUAAGGCAUGUUGAAUUCUUUGUGGUACCUGACAAUAGAUUCUUUUUCUUCCAAAUCUUUUCACAUACCUCACCUUUUCUAGAUCUCCAUUACUGUUUUCCCCAACUGGUCUGACUCAUUCUUUAGUUCUUGGUAAGCUGUCUACAUAGUUAUUAAUAUGUAUGGAUGCUUUGUCUAUUUGUACUGUGCAUGUGUCUGAUACCCUUAGAGACUAGAAGAAGGUGUUGGAUUCCCUGGGACUAGAGCUAUAGAUGGUUGUGAGUGGUUGCUGAGAAUUGAACAUGGGUCCUCUUGCAAGAAUAGCCAGGGCUCUUGACCAAUGAGCCAUCUUUUCAGCCUCCUGGCAUUGAUGUUUUAUUAUUUAAGAUUUUUAAGCCAUAGGUCAGUUGAAAGAAUAGUAGAGUGAGCACCACACUACCCCCAAUUUUUUUUUUUUUUUUUGACAAACUGGUGUGGAUAUUUCCCCCAUUUUCAAACAUGCGUCUCCCAAUUAUAAGACUAUUCUGCAGGAUUAUAGUUAUGGUAUCUAAGAAUGUCAGUAUUUACGUGGUAGCAUCAUUUGCCAUAGAGUUAACGCUUAAACAUUCUCAGUUGUCUACUGUGUUCUCACUUAAUCUGCCCCACUCUAUCACCAUGAGUUGAAUGGUCAAAAGUAGCUUAAAAAAGGAGUCCUUAGGCUGGACACAGGGCUUCUACUCUGUAGUGACAAUUUUGACAUUUUGGUUUCUUUAGAAAACACAGAAAUAUUACAAGAAUAUGUCUUUAUUUUAAUCCCAGGUAUGGGAUAUGGACCUGCUUCAGAUUGUCCUCAGCAGCUGGCUAUGAUUUGCCUCAUGCCCUAGCAGGGGCGUAAUUUUUCCAGUGGCAGACAGUGUCUACAGUCGUGUGACAUUUGGAAUUCUGUUGACUUAUCAGAGAAUAUAUAAUGCUAGGGCCCCAAGAGGCAGACUGGGUUGUUGGUUGGUUGCUGUUGGUUUCUGUUUAAGUAGUCCUGCAUAAAGAUGAAACAAGAAGAAAUUAGAUGUCUGACAGUGAAACUCAAACUUGCCUCUAAUGAACAGGAAGUUGUUUAAUGAUAAUGUUGCCCCCUUUCCUCUCUAUCCUUUUUUCCUCUCCUGUUUAGAGUUAGAGGUUUGAAAGGAUAGAAGAAGGGGGAUGGAAAAGGGUGGAAGAAAAAGAGCCCACAAAGUAGCUGAAAGUCCAGGUAUAUAUAAUAUACAUAUAAAAAUUAAUGUACCUAAUUGCCAAUUAUACACAACUCCUACCUUUUGGACCUAAAAUAUAGUUGUCUGUUCUUUUUAAGAUUAACCCACUGUCUGACUGUUCACCAAUUCUAGUAUUUCCCAUCUCUUGGCAAAGCCAAUCCUCCCACUCCCAAAAAAAAGUUCAAGUACCAAAUUAAUGUUCUGUUCAUCAAACCUAUCUCCUUGACCUACAAAUUCUUUUUUUUUUUCUUUUAAAGAUUUACUUAUUUAUUAUAUGUAAGUACACUGUAGCUGUCUUCAGACACACCAGAAGAGGUCGUCAGAUCUCGUUACAGAUGGUUAUGAGCUGGGAUUUGAACUCUGGACCUUUGGAAGAGCAGUCGGGUACUCUUACCCACUGAGCCAUCUCACCAGCCCAGAGCUACCAAUUCUUGAUUCCUCCUCAUUGCCAAACCCCCAAGGCCCACCUCUUCAGCAACCUGUCUUCCAUUUCAACACUUACUCGGCUUAGGAUAAAAGAAAGGCCUACUCAUUAAAUCUAGCAGCCUAUAUAAUAUAUUCAGUCUUCAUUUGACUUGACCUUACUGUCCUCAAAAGUGACUUUAGAAGGUAUGAAAGCUGAGCGUGGUGGCGCACGCCUUUAAUCCCAGCACUUGGGAGGCAGAGGCAGGCGGAUUUCUGAGUUCAAGGCCAGCCUGGUCUACAGAGUGAGUUCCAGGACAGUCAGGGCUACAGAGAAACCCUGUCUUGAAAAACC
This 2896-nucleotide long non-coding RNA is filed under the name Mus musculus (house mouse). Its description in RNAcentral is "long non-coding RNA chr11:21242928-21245824". The record is from RNAcentral. Lineage: Eukaryota; Metazoa; Chordata; Mammalia; Rodentia; Muridae.